This 369-nucleotide ribosomal RNA is filed under the name uncultured organism. RNAcentral describes it as "bacterial SSU rRNA". It matches the Rfam family "Bacterial small subunit ribosomal RNA", at positions 526 to 896 of the family's 1533-position model. The record is from RNAcentral.
CGUAGGUGGCAAGCGUUGUCCGGAUUUAUUGGGUUUAAAGGGUGCGUAGGUGGCCCUGUAAGUCAGUGGUGAAAUAUCUCAGCUUAACUGAGAGGGUGCCAUUGAUACUGCAGGGGCUUGAGUACAGAUGAGGUAGGCGGAAUUGACGGUGUAGCGGUGAAAUGCAUAGAUAUCGUCAAGAACACCGAUAGCGAAGGCAGCUUACCAAGCUGUAACUGACACUGAGGCACGAAAGUGUGGGGAUCAAACAGGAUUAGAUACCCUGGUAGUCCACACUGUAAACGUUGAUGACUCGAUGUUGGCGAUACACUGCCAGCGUCCAAGAGCAAUCGUUAAGUCAUCCACCUGGGGAGUACGCCGGCAACGGUG